AAGAUUUUAAGUUAUCAAAACUAGUAACCUUCAAAGUUACCAAAAAAAGUCAACUCUUUUAUAUCUUA
Limulus polyphemus (Atlantic horseshoe crab) is the source of this 68-nucleotide non-coding RNA. Lineage: Eukaryota; Metazoa; Arthropoda; Merostomata; Xiphosura; Limulidae. The record is from the annotation of a RefSeq genome assembly.